This is a long non-coding RNA of Gorilla gorilla gorilla (western lowland gorilla), 657 nucleotides long. RefSeq lists it as uncharacterized. Lineage: Eukaryota; Metazoa; Chordata; Mammalia; Primates; Hominidae. The transcript is spliced from 2 exons. The record is from RefSeq and is a predicted model, not a curated record.
UUAACUUUCCAUUCUCAACUCCUAUCCUAGCUCCUGGCACAGAACAUGUCAUCCAAGUUAGGCAUCAUCGUCGCCUGCUCUUGGUGAAGUUUUCUUUUGCGUACUGUGGAGAGAUGCGCUCAUUACCAGCUGGCGAUGGAGACGCUGAAACGCAAAUGGAUUUGAGACUGGGCGACUCCCAUCUCUAUGGUUGGUAUGUGACCCAUCUAUCCUCUGGAGGACUCAGCAAGGACUACCAGUCACCAGACAACUUUACGCGCACGUGGUCGCAAGGUGAACUUGCUAUUGGUUAAUGGCAGUAAAGCCCGCCCAUCAGCGCCCGCCCAUUAGCGCUGGUCUGCUCCUUUAAAAGAACGCCAUCGACGCUCCUCUGUCUUUCAGCGCCUGCAGGUUCCGGGAGGUCAGCUCCCAGCCGAGGACGUCGGAUGUCAUCGUCCUUGCUGCUUUACCACCCCAUUCCCGUCAAUAAAGUGCUUUGAACCCAACCCUGGUGUCGGUGUGUGUCGUUGGCGACGCGCUGUCUUUGAGCCCCCGCCGAGCCUCCUCGUGGCGCCGGGGGUCAAUCUGCAGCGCUAGAGCAUGUGCUUGCGCAUAACUGGGGCCGCCUGGCUCCCCGCGGGCGGCCCUUUUAACCGCGAGCGACAACAAGUAACCUGA